Molecule: ribosomal RNA, 440 nt
Filed under: uncultured bacterium
Lineage: Bacteria
Description: partial 16S ribosomal RNA
Rfam family: Bacterial small subunit ribosomal RNA
Source: RNAcentral
CCUACGGGUGGCAGCAGUGAGGAAUAUUGGUCAAUGGGGGCAACCCUGACCCAGCCAUGCCGCGUGAGUGAAGAAGGUCUUCGGAUUGUAAAGCUCUAUCAGCAGGGAAGAAAAUGACGGUACCUGAGUAAGAAGCCCCGGCUAACUACGUGCCAGCAGCAGCGGUAAUACGUAGGGGGCAAGCGUUAUCCGGAUUUACUGGGUGUAAAGGGAGCGUAGACGGCAGUGCAAGUCUGGAGUGAAAGGCGGGGGCUCAACCCCCGGACUGCUCUGGAAACUGUAUGGCUGGAGUGCAGGAGAGGUAAGUGGAAUUCCUAGUGUAGCGGUGAAAUGCGUAGAUAUUAGGAGGAACACCAGUGGCGAAGGCGGCUUACUGGACUGUAACUGACGUUGAGGCUCGAAAGCGUGGGGAGCAAACAGGAUUAGAUACCCGAGUAGUC